This 431-nucleotide RNase P RNA is filed under the name Treponema sp. RNAcentral's name for it is "RNase P RNA component class A". It matches the Rfam family "Bacterial RNase P class A". From Rfam's summary of the family: Ribonuclease P (RNase P) is a ubiquitous endoribonuclease, found in archaea, bacteria and eukarya as well as chloroplasts and mitochondria. Lineage: Bacteria; Pseudomonadati; Spirochaetota; Spirochaetia; Treponematales; Treponemataceae. The record is from RNAcentral.
ACGGUAAAUCAGACCGCCGCGGUGCAGCAGGAGUGUAGUAACGGCUGUUGCAUUGAGGAAAGUCCGGGCUCUGCAGGGCAUGAUGCCGGGUAACGCCCGGGCAAGGCGCGUAACACGCGUCUUGACAGAUAGCGCAACAGAAAGCAAACCGCCGGGUAUUGCCAGUGUCGCUGGAAAUACCCGGUAAGGGUGAAAGGGUGCGGUAAGAGCGCACCGCGGAACCGGUAACGGUUCCGGCACGGCAAGCCUCAUCAGGAGCAAAGUUAAACAGCGCAUGGACAUGAAUAACGUAUUCAUGUAAUCGCGGAUUGCCCGUCCGUUAAGCGCGGGUAGACUGCUGGAGAUCAUCCGCAAGGGUGAUACCAGAUAGAUGGCGGUUUAGUACCGGUGAACCGGUAUUAACAGAACCCGGCUUAUGAUUUACCGUUUUU